UACAGAGGUCCCAAGCGUUGUUCGGAUUCAUUGGGCGUAAAGGGUGCGUAGGUGGCGCCGUAAGUCGGGUGUGAAAUUUCGGAGCUUAACUCCGAAACUGCAUUCGAUACUGCGGUGCUUGAGGACUGGAGAGGAGACUGGAAUUCAUGGUGUAGCAGUGAAAUGCGUAGAUAUCAAGAGGAACACCUGAGGUGAAGACGGGUUGCUGGGCUGAUACUGACGCUGAGGCGCGAAAGCUAGGGUAGCAAACGGG
This 253-nucleotide ribosomal RNA is filed under the name uncultured bacterium. Its description in RNAcentral is "partial 16S ribosomal RNA". It matches the Rfam family "Bacterial small subunit ribosomal RNA", at positions 524 to 776 of the family's 1533-position model. The record is from RNAcentral.